GAUUCUUUCGGCUGAGGUACUAGACGAUAAGUAGCAACCAUGGAAUUGUAUCCUCGCAUCAGAGAAGAAGGAGGCAGUAGAAAAUUAGGUUUCAGAAUAGAGUCAUGUGGACCACAAGACAGCCUGGUUUUCUGACUGGGCCGUCAAUGCUCUUCUGCACGAGAGGAAGAUGAAUGAGGACCCUCUUGUGACACUCAACAAUAACAGUGCUGCAAGUAAUGAAUCUCCAUCGAUGAUAAUGCAGGAAAACAACUGCCUAUUCAUGAACAGCCAGCCACUUAUAGUCUCUGAUGGGGCCUUCAUAUUCCCAGCAUCUCUAUCUCAAUGGAAUGGAAUGUAAGCAUCUCAGUAAUGCACAUUGUGGAAAUUAUUUUCAUUUUCAAACUGU
Stegostoma tigrinum is the source of this 388-nucleotide long non-coding RNA. RefSeq lists it as uncharacterized. The transcript is spliced from 3 exons. Lineage: Eukaryota; Metazoa; Chordata; Chondrichthyes; Orectolobiformes; Stegostomatidae. The record is from RefSeq and is a predicted model, not a curated record.